Molecule: ribosomal RNA, 253 nt
Filed under: uncultured bacterium
Lineage: Bacteria
Description: partial 16S ribosomal RNA
Rfam family: Bacterial small subunit ribosomal RNA
Source: RNAcentral
UACGAAGGGGGCUAGCGUUACUCGGAAUCACUGGGCGUAAAGCGCACGUAGGCGGACUCUUAAGUCGGUGGUGAAAUCCUGGAGCUCAACUCCAGAACUGCCUUUGAUACUGAAGAUCUUGAGUUCGGGAGAGGUGAGUGGAACUGCGAGUGUAGAGGUGAAAUUCGUAGAUAUUCGCAAGAACACCAGUGGCGAAGGCGGCUCACUGGCCCGAUACUGACGCUGAGGCACGAAAGCGUGGGGAGCAAACAGG